This 73-nucleotide transfer RNA is filed under the name Stegodyphus mimosarum. It matches the Rfam family "tRNA". From Rfam's summary of the family: Transfer RNA (tRNA) molecules are approximately 80 nucleotides in length. Their secondary structure includes four short double-helical elements and three loops (D, anti-codon, and T loops). Lineage: Eukaryota; Metazoa; Arthropoda; Arachnida; Araneae; Eresidae. The record is from Rfam by way of RNAcentral.
GCCUUCGUGGUGUAGUGGUCAGCACGCUCGAUGCGUAACCGAGAGGUCCGUGGUUCAAUUCCCGGCGAAGGCG